AGCAGCCGCGGUAAUUCCAGCUCCAAUAGCGUAUAUUAAAGUUGUUGCAGUUAAAAAGCUCGUAGUUGAAUUUCGGGAUCAGUAUGUCGGUCGUGCCUCCGGUAUGUACUGGCGUCACUGGUUCCUCCCUUCUGACGAACCAUCAUGCUAUUAAUUUAGUGUGGUGGGAAAUCAGGACUGUUACUUUGAAAAAUUAGAGUGUUUAAAGCAGGCUCACGCUUGAAUACAUUAGCAUGGAAUAAUGAAAUAGGACGUUGAUCCUAUUUUGUUGGUUUCUAGGAUUGACGUAAUGAUUAAUAGGAUAGUUGGGGCAUUAG
This 317-nucleotide ribosomal RNA is filed under the name uncultured Glomeromycotina. RNAcentral's name for it is "SSU rRNA". It matches the Rfam family "Eukaryotic small subunit ribosomal RNA", at positions 569 to 894 of the family's 1831-position model. The record is from RNAcentral. Lineage: Eukaryota; Fungi; Glomeromycota.